CAGUCGCCGCGGGAAUACGUAGGUGGCAAGCGUUGUCCGGAAUUAUUGGGCGUAAAGCGCGCGCAGGUGGUUUAAUAAGUCUGAUGUGAAAGCCCACGGCUCAACCGUGGAGGGUCAUUGGAAACUGUUAAACUUGAGUGCAGGAGAGAAAAGUGGAAUUCCUAGUGUAGUGGUGAAAUGCGUAGAGAUUAGGAGGAACACCAGUGGCGAAGGCGGCUUUUUGGCCUGUAACUGACACUGAGGCGCGAAAGCGUGGGGAGCAAACAGGAUUAGAUACCCCGGUAGUCCCUGUCUCUUAUAC
RNAcentral lists this ribosomal RNA (301 nucleotides) under uncultured bacterium. Its description in RNAcentral is "partial 16S ribosomal RNA". It matches the Rfam family "Bacterial small subunit ribosomal RNA", at positions 509 to 807 of the family's 1533-position model. The record is from RNAcentral.